CCAAUCCCAGCCAACACAGGGCACAAGGCAGGGAACCAAUCCUGGGCAGGGUGCCAAUGACACAAUAUGGUUGAGAAUAAUAAGUGGACAAACAUUGUGUAUCUCAUUCUGGAACUAAAUUAUUACCCGAGAAGACGAAUCUUGCACAUUGUUUUUGGGUGGUAAACCACAUCAAGAAUCAAAUGAGUGAGAAUCAUGCGCCUCGUUCUUAAAUGAGGAUUCAGUUCAAUGAUGAAGUAAACAAGAAUCAUGCACAUCAUUCUCAGGUGGUGAUUUACUUCAAGAAUUAAAGGAACAAGAAUUGUGCGCCACACACACGAGCAACAGCUCGGUCUCAGAAUCACGUGA
Molecule: long non-coding RNA, 348 nt
Organism: Erpetoichthys calabaricus (reedfish)
Lineage: Eukaryota; Metazoa; Chordata; Cladistia; Polypteriformes; Polypteridae
Exons: 2
Source: RefSeq, a predicted model, not a curated record